AGAAGGAAGAGUUCACCACGGGC
This 23-nucleotide non-coding RNA is filed under the name Arabidopsis thaliana (thale cress). The record is from RNAcentral. Lineage: Eukaryota; Viridiplantae; Streptophyta; Magnoliopsida; Brassicales; Brassicaceae.